This 1268-nucleotide unclassified non-coding RNA is filed under the name Hevea brasiliensis (rubber tree). Lineage: Eukaryota; Viridiplantae; Streptophyta; Magnoliopsida; Malpighiales; Euphorbiaceae. The record is from RNAcentral.
CCCAAGUCCAUAUAUGCCCCAUAUUGAAAUAUAUGGGACAUUAGUUCCCUUGCAAUGGGAUCGUAAUAUGUGCCUUUUUCAAACCUUGUGCCUCAUAAUAAGCAUGCUCUUAGGCUUAUGAAGCAUUUCCCUUUGUGAAGUUAUCCCACCUUAUCCUAGUAUAGGCAUUGGCCCUAGGUUAUGGUGUGCCUUUAAUAACUAUAUUGAGAGAGGGUUUGAUUUUGACAUAGCUACUUCCAUUGGAUGCCUAUCAGUUACAAAAAGACAUUAACUUAAGCAAUUUGUUUGGCUUAGCUUCAAUCAGAAACACAUUUAGACUCUAGGGCGUUUCUCCAUGGCUUCAACUUCUAAUCAAACCUAGUUUGGUUUUCGUAAGUAUAAAUUAUGUUAUCAGCAAAGGCAUGUACUUUCAUCUAUGACUCUAUGCUUUGUCAAAUGCCAUUGGAUUCAUGAUUAAAGCAAAAAGAUAGAGGUUCAAGUUAGAUAGGUUGCAUAAGUGACUAUUAUAUAUACUCCAACAUAUUAUUCUCAUAUGUCCUUAUACUAGUGUUUUUUCAUGCAUACCUUUUAACUUAUUUUUUAUAUCCAAUAGAUAUCUCUUAGAAUUUUUUUUGUAAGCAAGAUGGGCUAUUACUUUAGUUGCAGAGUGUGUUCCUAAUAAUUGUUCCAAAGUGCUUGAUUAGUGAGGGCAUUUGGCUACAUGGAUGGUACACUCUUCUCAUCAAUGCCUAAUAUUAUGUCACAGUUCCAUGUCUCACUAACACUCCUAUUUGAAUCAAGGAUUGAAACCAUACUUCUUGAGAAAAUAUAUGGUGUGAUUUAGGUGAUAUUCCAUAUAAAUCCAAUAUUCCAUUCUCUCAUGGGUUUUAGGUGUUACAGUAUGAUGCAUAACUCUUUUAUUCUCAAGAAUUAAGAAUUCAUAAAUCCCUCAUUAGUAAAUGGUGAAUUAUGUCUCAAACAUAGCUAAGGUUUGCCUUAAUGGAAAAUAAAAUAGAGCAACAAAUAGCAAUCUUCUCAAUCAAGAAGUAUGAAUCACACCUUUGUUUCUGGUGCCACAGUGGUUUUCUAGAUCAAUAAAACACCAUAUGAAGGUUUCAUCUUUCUUCUUGGCACUUCUUCAUUAACCCCCUUAUAAGAAAGGAUGCCUUCACACUUUCUUUUUCCACAUGACAAAUUAAAUUUUUAUUUGUAGGUUCUUUUUUACCAUACCAUUGGAAAUUUUAAAAUUUGGAAUAUAACUCAACUCAACUUAACUCAACUCAACUAAG